This 253-nucleotide ribosomal RNA is filed under the name uncultured bacterium. RNAcentral describes it as "partial 16S ribosomal RNA". It matches the Rfam family "Bacterial small subunit ribosomal RNA", at positions 524 to 776 of the family's 1533-position model. The record is from RNAcentral.
GACAGAGGGGGCAAGCGUUGCUCGGAAUUACUGGGCGUAAAGGGCGCGUAGGCGGGAUGGCAAGUCGGUCGUGAAAUCCUUCGGCUCAACCGAAGAACGUCGAUCGAUACUGCUGUUCUAGAGGAUUGCAGAGGAGACUGGAAUUCCCGGUGUAGCGGUGAAAUGCGUAGAUAUCGGGAGGAACAUCAGUGGCGAAGGCGGCUACCUGGCCCAAUACUGACACUCAGGUGCGACAGCGUGGGGAGCAAACAGG